CGAACCUGGGAUAACCGGCGAACGGGUGCGUAACACGUGAACAACCUCGCCCUCGGUGGUGGGGGAGUAGCCGGGCUAACGCCCGGGUAAUACCGCAUACGUUCCUCUGGGGGAGUCCCUGGGGGAGGAAAGCUCCGGCGCACGGGGAGGGGUUCGCGGCCUAUCAGCUAGUUGGCGGGGUAAUGGCCCACCAAGGCGACGACGGGUAGCUGGUCUGAGAGGAUGGCCAGCCACAUUGGGACUGAGAGACGGCCCAG
Molecule: ribosomal RNA, 257 nt
Filed under: uncultured bacterium
Lineage: Bacteria
Description: partial 16S ribosomal RNA
Rfam family: Bacterial small subunit ribosomal RNA
Source: RNAcentral